RNAcentral lists this ribosomal RNA (491 nucleotides) under Cryptosporidium sp. RNAcentral describes it as "SSU rRNA". It matches the Rfam family "Eukaryotic small subunit ribosomal RNA", at positions 353 to 877 of the family's 1831-position model. The record is from RNAcentral. Lineage: Eukaryota; Apicomplexa; Conoidasida; Eucoccidiorida; Cryptosporidiidae.
UGACGGGUAACGGGGAAUUAGGGUUCGAUUCCGGAGAGGGAGCCUGAGAAACGGCUACCACAUCUAAGGAAGGCAGCAGGCGCGCAAAUUACCCAAUCCUAAUACAGGGAGGUAGUGACAAGAAAUAACAAUACAGGACUUAAUUGUUUUGUAAUUGGAAUGAGUUAAGUAUAAACCCCUUUACAAGUAUCAAUUGGAGGGCAAGUCUGGUGCCAGCAGCCGCGGUAAUUCCAGCUCCAAUAGCGUAUAUUAAAGUUGUUGCAGUUAAAAAGCUCGUAGUUGGAUUUCUGUUAAUAUUUUAUAUUAUUAAUUAUUAUUAUUAAUAUAAUAUUAACAUAAUUCAUAUUGCUUUUUUUAAGUAUAUGAAAUUUUACUUUGAGAAAAUUAGAGUGCUUAAAGCAGGCAUUUGCCUUGAAUACUCCAGCAUGGAAUAAUAUUAAAGAUUUUUAUCUUUCUUAUUGGUUCUAAGAUAGAAAUAAUGAUUAAUAGGG